This 406-nucleotide ribosomal RNA is filed under the name uncultured bacterium. RNAcentral's name for it is "partial 16S ribosomal RNA". It matches the Rfam family "Bacterial small subunit ribosomal RNA", at positions 30 to 526 of the family's 1533-position model. The record is from RNAcentral.
AUUGACCGCUGGCGGCAGGCCUAACACAUGCAAGUCGAACGAGUGGCGGACGGGUGAGUAAUGUCUGGGAAACUGCCUGAUGGAGGGGGAUAACUACUGGACACGGUAGCUAAUACCGCAUACCAUCGGAUGUGCCCAGAUGGGAUUAGCUAGUAGGUGGGGUAAAGGCUCACCUAGGCGACGAUCCCUAGCUGGUCUGAGAGGAUGACAAGCCACACUGGAACUGAGACACGGUGCAGACUCCUACGGGAGGCAGCAGUGGGGAAUAUUGCACAAUGGGCGCAAGCCUGAGGCAGACAUGCCGCGUGUAUGAAGAAGGCCUUCGGGUUGGAAAGUACUUUCAGCGGGGAGGCGUUACCCGAAGAAGAAGCACCGGCUAACUCCGUGCCAGCAGCCGCGGUAAUAC